This is a long non-coding RNA of Leopardus geoffroyi (Geoffroy's cat), 2369 nucleotides long. RefSeq lists it as uncharacterized. The transcript is spliced from 3 exons. Lineage: Eukaryota; Metazoa; Chordata; Mammalia; Carnivora; Felidae. The record is from RefSeq and is a predicted model, not a curated record.
GUUCUGUGCUUCGCGAAAAGCCGGGGCGUGGGAAGGGCCUGCAGCGCGAGGUCCGGCUGUGUGUCCCUUUCAGCGCUUGGGGCCGAGGCCGGGAUGGCUCCUUAGAGCUUCCAGUAUUUACUUAGCACCUACUACGUGCCCAGCCCUGUGGAUACAGAGAUGAACAAAGCCUAAUUCCUGCUCACAAGACUUUCUGACUAGUGAUGUGACUACCCUAUUUAUGAAGGGACUGCCCUGGUCUGAAGUAAUUUCCUCUACAAAUUUCAAGUAAAUCCUUGAAAUGGAGCAAAGUCCACUACAAUGCAAAACUUGUCUCUGUUCUGCUUGUGGAGCCCAUCUCAAAUAAAGGUGGGCGAAGCUCUUAUCUCUGGGCCGUGGAUAAAGAAGUGACUGUCUCGUGUUCCUCUGGAGCUUUCUCAGGUUGGUCUGCUGCAUGUAGUAAGGUUUCACAAUCUUUACUUUUGUGCUUUUUGUAAUAGUAUGGACCCACUGAAAAUGAUUGCUUUUUCAUUGAUCCUGAAGUCACAUAACUCCACAUUUUACACAAUUUAAAGUUUGGACUUGGCUCGUUGCCUUAUGAUGGAGUUUUCUACAUUAAGCCCCUAUUUUGUCACGGCACCAGGUUAGGUUUAUGGAAAUGAACAGAACUGACAGGGUCUCUGUUCUCAUGGAACUUGCAAGCUUGCUUUCUUAAUGGAGGAAAUGGACAAUAAGCCAAUAAGAUGUCUGCACACUGGAAUGAGGGCUGUGAAGAAAUCAAAGGACUGAAGUAGAAAAUAGGAGGUCCCACCUGAGGUGGUCAGGAGGCUGCUCUAAAGAGGUGACAUUUGCAUUGAGGAAGAUGAGAUGGAGAGAACUGGAGGGAAAGCAUUCUAGAUGUCAGGAACAGCAUAUGCAAAGGCCCUGCAGCAGGACUAGAAGAGACUUAGUUUUAAGCUGAGUGUGGAUCUAGGAGUCCCAGAGCAACCUGAACAAGAGAAAACUGGGAAAGAUGGAAGCCCCAGAGCCAGUGUUCAAGGGCGAGGCCUAGGCCACAAGUUCAGAUUUGCUGCAGGUCAAAUCAUUAUAGACUAUCCUAGUCUGGGGGCUGCGGGGGUCCAUGCCAUAGGAUGGGGAUGGCUCAAGGCAAUGACAACUCAUUGGAAAUUGUGGAAAUCCCUUCUGAAUUUCAGAGACAGUAUAUGGGCUGCAGGAUCCUGAUGGCUGGGAGUAGGUGAGCUUAAGCACCCUUUUUCCUCCUCCUUAAAAUAUGUGAGGUCUGGCCUGGGUCCCUUUUCCUUUAUUUAGCCAUGGUUGACUGAGGCCUCCUUUGUGCCAAGCACUGUACUGGGCACUGGGGAUAUUGCAGUGAACAAAACAGAUAAACCCCUGCCCUCAAGGAGCUUGUAUCUCAGUGGGGGACACAAACACAAAAGACCCCAAACAAACUCAGUGUUUUGGGAGAGGACUAGGUGGGGAGAUCUCCCUUCCUGAGUUGGAGCCCUAAGAUUUUGGCUCCUCCAUUAGUCCUUUUUCUGGGGGAUUCUACUCUGAGACCAGAGUGCCUUGGCCCUUAGGUCCUCUUUCCUGUUGGUGAGAAUUUAAAGAGAAACACACACACACACACACACACACACACACACACACACACACACACCACACACCCCUCCCCUUUUAGGGGCUGUUAAAGGCCCACACACAGACAUAGGAACACCCAAAUGCACAUACUUCUCUAAUCUCCCUAAUCCCCCAAGGCUGGGGUGGUGGUUGUAGUGGUUCUCUGUUUCUCUAUUUAGCUCAGGAGAAGCCAGGCUAUGGGCCUGGCUUAGCCCCCGCACCCCCCUUCCCCUGGGCUGGUGCCUGGGUCCCAGUCAUUCCCACACCUGGCCUGGGAGGUAAAUGAAUGUACUGAGCAAACAUCCUUGCAGCUUCCUGCUGCUCCCCUCUGAGACAACAGCACUCCUCCUUCUCUUCCUCCUCCCCACACCCUCCCAGUUGGGGCAUCUCUGGGAUCCAGAGCCAUUUCCCUCUAGAGAAACCAGAGUCAUCCCUUUUCCUUAGCCAGAAGAAGAAGGCAAGAUGCACACAGCCCUAGUGUCUCUAUCUGGAGACACAACUUGUUCUCUCUCUGGCCCUUUGUCUCAGCUUUCUGAGCACCAGACCCUCCCUCAUACCUGCCCAGGGGGUGAAGGAUAAUAGGAUACAGGGGAUGAGGGCUCUCCAGUGGCCACAUCAGGAACUGUGGGAGAGGUAGAGGGAGGAGAAGCCCCCUUCCCCCACAUCCGGUAGGAAGGGCAGCCCCUUUGGAGGAGUGUCUCUGAGAAUCACAUAGAUAAGCUGGGAACAGCAUAAAGGGAAAAAUAAAGUACCCCUGACCACCUCCAAGCACA